RNAcentral lists this ribosomal RNA (600 nucleotides) under Phlegmacium variecolor. RNAcentral's name for it is "eukaryotic LSU rRNA". It matches the Rfam family "Eukaryotic large subunit ribosomal RNA", at positions 1 to 600 of the family's 3401-position model. The record is from RNAcentral. Lineage: Eukaryota; Fungi; Basidiomycota; Agaricomycetes; Agaricales; Cortinariaceae.
GUGACCUCAAAUCAGGUAGGACUACCCGCUGAACUUAAGCAUAUCAAUAAGCGGAGGAAAAGAAACUAACAAGGAUUCCCCUAGUAACUGCGAGUGAAGCGGGAAAAGCUCAAAUUUAAAAUCUGUCAGUCUUUGACUGUCCGAGUUGUAAUCUAGAGAAGUGUUAUCCGCGCUGGACCGUGUACAAGUCUCCUGGAAUGGAGCGUCAUAGAGGGUGAGAAUCCCGUCUUUGACACGGACUGCCAGGGCUUUGUGAUGCGCUCUCAAAGAGUCGAGUUGUUUGGGAAUGCAGCUCAAAAUGGGUGGUAAAUUCCAUCUAAAGCUAAAUAUUGGCGAGAGACCGAUAGCGAACAAGUACCGUGAGGGAAAGAUGAAAAGAACUUUGGAAAGAGAGUUAAACAGUACGUGAAAUUGCUGAAAGGGAAACGCUUGAAGUCAGUCGCGUUGUCCAGGGAUCAACCUUGCUUUUGCUUGGUGUACUUUCUGGUUGACGGGUCAGCAUCAAUUUUGACUGUUGGAAAAAGAUCAAGGGAAUGUGGCAUCUUUAGAUGUGUUAUAGCCCUUGGUUGCAUACAAUGGUUGGGAUUGAGGAACUCAGCA